Molecule: ribosomal RNA, 113 nt
Filed under: Castor canadensis (American beaver)
Lineage: Eukaryota; Metazoa; Chordata; Mammalia; Rodentia; Castoridae
Source: RNAcentral
GUUUAUGGUCAUCCUACCCUGAAUGCUCCUGAUCUCAGAAGCUAAGCAAGGGGCAGGCCUGGUUAGAACUCAGAUGGAAGGCCUAUCUCCAAAAUAACCAGAGUACCGGGGCU